Molecule: ribosomal RNA, 253 nt
Filed under: uncultured bacterium
Lineage: Bacteria
Description: partial 16S ribosomal RNA
Rfam family: Bacterial small subunit ribosomal RNA
Source: RNAcentral
UACAGAGGUCCCAAGCGUUGUUCGGAUUCACUGGGCGUAAAGGGUGCGUAGGCGGUUUGAUAAGUCUGAUGUGAAAUCCCGCAGCUUAACUGCGGAACUGCAUUGGAAACUAUUUGACUAGAGGAAUGGAGGGGAGACUGGAAUACUUGGUGUAGCAGUGAAAUGCGUAGAUAUCAAGUGGAACACCAGUGGCGAAGGCGGCUCACUGGUCCGGUACUGACGCUGAGGUGCGAAAGCGUGGGGAGCAAACAGG